This 469-nucleotide ribosomal RNA is filed under the name uncultured bacterium. Its description in RNAcentral is "partial 16S ribosomal RNA". It matches the Rfam family "Bacterial small subunit ribosomal RNA", at positions 28 to 507 of the family's 1533-position model. The record is from RNAcentral.
GAUGAACGCUGGCGGCGUGCUUAACACAUGCAAGUCGAACGGUGAACACGGAGCUUGCUCUGUGGGAUCAGUGGCGAACGGGUGAGUAACACGUGAGCAACCUGCCCCUGACUCUGGGAUAAGCGCUGGAAACGGCGUCUAAUACUGGAUAUGUGACGUGACCGCAUGGUCUGCGUUUGGAAAGAUUUUUCGGUUGGGGAUGGGCUCGCGGCCUAUCAGCUUGUUGGUGAGGUAAUGGCUCACCAAGGCGUCGACGGGUAGCCGGCCUGAGAGGGUGACCGGCCACACUGGGACUGAGACACGGCCCAGACUCCUACGGGAGGCAGCAGUGGGGAAUAUUGCACAAUGGGCGCAAGCCUGAUGCAGCAACGCCGCGUGAGGGAUGACGGCCUUCGGGUUGUAAACCUCUUUUAGCAGGGAAGAAGCGAAAGUGACGGUACCUGCACAAAAAGCGCCGGCUAACUACGUG